UAGGCAAGAGCGGGUGAAGAA
Caenorhabditis elegans is the source of this 21-nucleotide non-coding RNA. NCBI's taxonomy places the organism in Eukaryota, Metazoa, Nematoda, Chromadorea, Rhabditida, Rhabditidae. The record is from Ensembl.